This 951-nucleotide long non-coding RNA is filed under the name Mytilus galloprovincialis (Mediterranean mussel). Lineage: Eukaryota; Metazoa; Mollusca; Bivalvia; Mytilida; Mytilidae. The record is from RNAcentral.
UUGAAUUCUAAAAUCAAUUUAAAACCCCGUUAUAUCUUAAGUUCAAGUUAUGAUAAAUGGGCUAUGUCACAGAUUUCUUAAACUUUUGCCUACACCUUUGACUUGUUGAAUAGAGCUUUCUUACAAAUUGACGAAAGGUACGAACGAACGUAAAGGGAGCACGUAUUUCAUUUCUACAAUAACAGUUAAAAGAGUCUUUGUUUUAUCCAGUAAAACAGCAUUCUUUUCUAAAUCAAGUUUAUUAAAAAAAAAACAAUAUCGCAAAUAAUACACGAUUUUAAUAUAAUCAAACAGAGAAAAAUAGGGUCAAAUACACUUACUUCCGAUACGUACUUACGUAAACCACGAGUACACACAUUUCCGCAAAUAAAUGGGAAUUAUUUAAGCACGAGUUUCACGAUUAACAUUUCAAUGACAUAACUGAAGUACGUUAGUCUAAAUUUAACGACAAGAUUCAUAUUUAUUUUUAUUUGUUACAGUACACUUUCAGCAAAUUGUCAAAGUGGAAUAUCGAGAUUUGCUAAAAAAUGAUGCUACAAUGUUUUUAAAAAGUAAUGUUGAAUAAAUCUAGAAAAAAAAGACUUUUUUUUAUCAAGAAAAUAAAUCUACAAUUCUCCACCAAAUAGAUAUGGAUUCUAUAAUGACGAUUUAGGAGUACACACGUUUGGAAGAUAGACGCGAAGUUGUUACCUAUCGUCCAGUGGCUAAUAUUUCAUGAAUGUUCAGGACUAUAGGCAAAACGCAGUUAUACGCUAAAAUAACCGUUCCAUUGCUCUGGUGUAUCAUAUAUACACAUUUUAGGGGGGGGGCAUUAAUAUUACCAGGGGAGAGGCGAAGAUUCAAAAGUUAUGAAACGAGCAUCAGUGUAUGGCAUAGUAUGAAGAUCAUCUUUUUCUACAUUUUCAUUUUAUUAUUUUGAGCGUUGCAAAUUUUGAAUUAAGGAAGUAUUCG